RNAcentral lists this ribosomal RNA (677 nucleotides) under Pseudomonas qingdaonensis. RNAcentral describes it as "bacterial SSU rRNA". It matches the Rfam family "Bacterial small subunit ribosomal RNA", at positions 79 to 752 of the family's 1533-position model. The record is from RNAcentral. Lineage: Bacteria; Pseudomonadati; Pseudomonadota; Gammaproteobacteria; Pseudomonadales; Pseudomonadaceae.
CUUGCAUCAUUCAAUUCAGCGGCGGACGGGUGAGUAAUACCUAGGAAUCUGCCUGGUAGUGGGGGACAACGUUUCGAAAGGAACGCUAAUACCGCAUACGCCCUACGGGGGAAAGCAGGGGACCUUCGGGCCUUGCGCUAUCAGAUGAGCCUAGGUCGGAUUAGCUAGUUGGUGAGGUAAUGGCUCACCAAGGCUACGAUCCGUAACUGGUCUGAGAGGAUGAUCAGUCACACUGGAACUGAGACACGGUCCAGACUCCUACGGGAGGCAGCAGUGGGGAAUAUUGGACAAUGGGCGAAAGCCUGAUCCAGCCAUGCCGCGUGUGUGAAGAAGGUCUUCGGAUUGUAAAGCACUUUAAGUUGGGAGGAAGGGCAGUAAGCGAAUACCUUGCUGUUUUGACGUUACCGACAGAAUAAGCACCGGCUAACUCUGUGCCAGCAGCCGCGGUAAUACAGAGGGUGCAAGCGUUAAUCGGAAUUACUGGGCGUAAAGCGCGCGUAGGUGGUUCGUUAAGUUGGAUGUGAAAUCCCCGGGCUCAACCUGGGAACUGCAUCCAAAACUGGCGAGCUAGAGUAGGGCAGAGGGUGGUGGAAUUUCCUGUGUAGCGGUGAAAUGCGUAGAUAUAGGAAGGAACACCAGUGGCGAGCGACCACCUGGGCUCAUACUGACACUGAGGU